GUCUAAGUUGAGCACUGAUUUAGGAAGAACAAAGUCAUACAUAUACCCUGCCUAUACCUCUUGAAAAGAACAAAAUGUCUAUGAUCUAAUAACAAACGAAAAAAAUAUAUCUUCAAUUAAUAAUUAUUGAGGAUGGUGCAGAGCAGAGCCCCAACGCAUGUUUCGCCGGUAAGGCAGUUCUUCAAGGGGGAUAAGACCAUUGUG
Molecule: non-coding RNA, 204 nt
Organism: Pelobates cultripes (western spadefoot toad)
Lineage: Eukaryota; Metazoa; Chordata; Amphibia; Anura; Pelobatidae
Source: the annotation of a GenBank genome assembly